UACAGAGGGUGCAAGCGUUAAUCGGAAUUACUGGGCGUAAAGCGCGCGUAGGUGGUUCAGUAAGUUGGAAGUGAAAUCCCCGGGCUCAACCUGGGAAUUGCAUUUGAAACUGGGGAACUAGAGUGUGUGAGAGGGGGGUAGAAUUCCAAGUGUAGCGGUGAAAUGCGUAGAGAUUUGGAGGAAUACCAGUGGCGAAGGCAAUCCCCUGGGCCUGUACUGACGCUCAUGCACGAAAGCGUGGGGAGCAAACAGG
RNAcentral lists this ribosomal RNA (253 nucleotides) under uncultured bacterium. Its description in RNAcentral is "partial 16S ribosomal RNA". It matches the Rfam family "Bacterial small subunit ribosomal RNA", at positions 524 to 776 of the family's 1533-position model. The record is from RNAcentral.